CCUACGGGCUGCAGCAGUGGGGAAUAUUGCACAAUGGGCGCAAGCCUGAUGCAGCCAUGCCGCGUGUAUGAAGAAGGCCUUAGGGUUGUAAAGUACUUUCAGUUGGGAGGAAGGCGUUGAUGCUAAUAUCAUCAACGAUUGACGUUACCAACAGAAGAAGCACCGGCUAACUCCGUGCCAGCAGCCGCGGUAAUACGGAGGGUGCAAGCGUUAAUCGGAAUUACUGGGCGUAAAGCGCACGCAGGCGGUUGAUUAAGUUAGAUGUGAAAUCCCCGGGCUUAACCUGGGAAUGGCAUCUAAGACUGGUCAGCUAGAGUCUUGUAGAGGGGGGUAGAAUUUCAGGUGUAGCGGUGAAAUGCGUAGAGAUCUGAAGGAAUACCAGUGGCGAAGGCGGCCCCCUGGACAAAGACUGACGCUCAGAUGCGAAAGCGUGGGGAGCAAACAGGAUUAGAUACCCGGGUAGUC
RNAcentral lists this ribosomal RNA (465 nucleotides) under uncultured bacterium. RNAcentral's name for it is "bacterial SSU rRNA". It matches the Rfam family "Bacterial small subunit ribosomal RNA", at positions 338 to 795 of the family's 1533-position model. The record is from RNAcentral.